GGAUGUGAGGGCGAUCUGGCUCGACAUCUGUCACCCCAUUGAUCGCCAGGGUCGAUGGGGCUGAUCCGGCUGGCUGGGCGGGGGUCCCCUUCCUCCCUCACCGCUCCAUGUGCGUCCCUCGCGAAGCUGCGCGCUCGGUCGAAGAGGACGACCUUCCCCGAUAGAGGAGGACCGUUCUUGGGUCAAGGGUAUACGAGUAGCUGCGCUCCCCUGCUAGAACCUCCAAACAAGCUCUCAAGGUCCAAAUUGUCAGACGACAAAUUGUGGUGAUACCAACAAGGGCUCUUAAAUCUAUGUCCAGCAUGACAAAUAAUCAUCUUUAAUCUGU
This is an unclassified non-coding RNA of Panthera tigris altaica (Amur tiger), 328 nucleotides long. Its record names the gene 7SK. It matches the Rfam family "7SK RNA". From Rfam's summary of the family: 7SK was discovered as an abundant small nuclear RNA in the mid-70s but a possible function has only recently been suggested. Two independent studies have found that 7SK RNA binds the CDK9/cyclin T complex (known as elongation factor P-TEFb). NCBI's taxonomy places the organism in Eukaryota, Metazoa, Chordata, Mammalia, Carnivora, Felidae. The record is from Ensembl.